RNAcentral lists this ribosomal RNA (597 nucleotides) under uncultured bacterium. Its description in RNAcentral is "bacterial SSU rRNA". It matches the Rfam family "Bacterial small subunit ribosomal RNA", at positions 244 to 862 of the family's 1533-position model. The record is from RNAcentral.
GUUAGUUGGUGAGGUAACGGCUCACCAAGACUGCGAUGGGUAGCCGGCCUGAGAGGGUGAACGGCCACACUGGAACUGAGACACGGUCCAGACUCCUACGGGAGGCAGCAGUGGGGAAUAUUGCACAAUGGAGGAAACUCUGAUGCAGCGACGCCGCGUGAACGAUGAAGGCUUUCGGGUCGUAAAGUUCUGUCCUAGGGGACGAUAAUGACGGUACCCUAGGAGGAAGCCCCGGCUAACUACGUGCCAGCAGCCGCGGUAAUACGUAGGGGGCGAGCGUUGUCCGGAUUUAUUGGGCGUAAAGGGUUCGCAGGCGGUCUCUUAAGUUAGAUGUGAAAGAUCACGGCUCAACCGUGGUAAGCAUUUAAAACUGGGAGACUUGAGUUAAGGAGAGGAAAGUGGAAUUCCUAGUGUAGCGGUGAAAUGCGUAGAUAUUAGGAGGAAUACCAGUGGCGAAGGCGACUUUCUGGACUUAUACUGACGCUGAGGAACGAAAGCGUGGGGAGCAAACAGGAUUAGAUACCCUGGUAGUCCACGCCGUAAACGAUGAGUGCUAGGUGUCGGGUGUCAAAGCUCGGUGCCGCAGCUAACGCAUUA